AAACAAGUUGCCGAUUCCAUUUUUCCAAAUCUCCGCACUCCAGAGAGUUGGAUUCUGGGCAUCUCACAGAUUCUCUUUUGGCAGUCUUCUUGGAACUCUUUAUUACUUUCUUUCUACACGAAUUAUUGUUGCAAUUUACUGUUCUCAAAUUUUUAACUUGCCUGAAUUUGGUUAUAAGUUAAACCCAUUUCACGUUUUUGAGAAUCAUAUGUGGGUUUUCCUUUUUGCUGUCAUCCAUGUACUGAUUAACAUUUUACACUGAAAGUGGGCAAUUGUGCUGUUCUCUUUCUAGCCAUAAUUGAAUUAAUGUAGCUGCUUUUGAUAUUGGCAGAUAGUAUUCUAUGUUUUGCUUCUUUUGAAAAAAUAUAUAAGUUUUUGUUGUUAAAUAAGAAGUCACAGAAGAUGAGUGUGCCUGCAAAUUUAAUAGGAUUCCCUUCUUCUGAUUACUCGUGUGAUACAAUUAUGCCAAUUCCAUUUUUAUGUUCACUUUAAUCCUGAUUGCUGAUAAGGUAUCAUUUUCCCCUACGUAUGAUAAUGUGAGCUGAUGAAUUAAUGAUUCUUCUCUUUUGAAUGCAUAAUAGUAUCACUAUGUGACUCUGCGUGUCGGUGCAAGGCAUGUAGAUUUAAGUUUUCCUUACACAUCCAUGGAUAGAGAAAUUUUCUAGUGUUGUUAUUUUGUUAAGACAGUCAAGGAGAACGUUUUGAUAAUAAAUUUGAUCUUUUCUGCUGAAAUUACUAGUGUUGCUGGUUGGGAUACGCGUUGUCAAUUCAUCCAUGACCAAAGCAAUAGGGUAUGGGCUCAAGGCAGAUUCUUGUGGAGUCCAACUGUGAUUUUACUAAAUUGGAAAAUCAAUUUUGGGUUAUGUAUAAGUUGAUAAAGGGGUGAAUUGUAUAAGAUUUUAUUCUAAUCUCUUUUAAUUCUCUGAUACUCAUAUACCUGGUUUGAAUGUUGAAUUGGUAACUUUAGUUACAAUGCAUGCCUGGUAGAUACAUUACCUGCAAGUUUGUCAAAUGAGCUUGCAGAAACUGAUAUUCUAAUGAUUUCCACAUCAGCUUGAAAAGUGAGCAAAAGCUAGAAAAGUUUUCUUGCUUGAGUGGUUUCAAUUAAAAAUGAUGGUCUCAUGUAUUUUUGGCCAUCCAGCAUUAGAAAAAGAAUAUUCUUUUUAUCUAUUUCUUUUUUGGUUCACGGGCAAUCCUUACUGCAUACAUUUUCGAAGUGGAAAAGUGCAGUAGUGCACUUAACCUUUUCUAUUGAUGGCCACUGUUAUUCUUUCUCUGCCUCACUUUUUAAUAUUUGACCUUUUCUUCUCUUUCCACUUCAAUGUUAAAAGGGGUAUGAUUAUUGAUUGAGAACCCAUAGAGAUGCUGCAGGAUAGAUGAAAUAGGCAGGUGCUUCAAGCGCAUUUCAUGAUCACAAGUACUUAGGAGGAAAUAUAAAGAUGCUCAACAUAUGACUGGGCAGAAUUCUGCAUUUGAUACUUUGAGGACCCCAGGAUCAGUGAGGAGUUCAUAGAAAGACACUUCCUUUACUUAUCAUGUUUGGUGUAAUUAGAAUCUUCAGCCAGAACACUUUAGUGGAGAAAAAGAAGUGCGCAUAUACAGAUGAUGGUACAGAAAUUGUCAUCUCUGGCAAAAAGAGCAAAUGUUAAGUGGUAGGGCAUUGGUUUAUCCAAAAGCUCGAAAGCUUCAUGAACCUCCAAUAAUUACAGCAAACUAGAAGCUAUUGGACUUAGAAUGAUGGGACGACGCGAUAUCCAGCUUCUGCCAUUAUUGUUGUGGAGAACAACUGAUCCACUUCAACUUCAACAUCUGUUCUCUUUGCAAAUCGGCCUUUGAUCCUGGGUCUGGUCUCUGCAUAUGCCUUCCUUGAAGCAUACCUGAUUGUCUUCUCAAAUUUCCUUGUCUUCUUUUUCUCUCUGUAUCUUAGCACCCUUGCCUCCCUAUCCCUUGGACUAAGUUGGGAUGGCAUCUGCAUGGGAGGACUGGAGAAAAGGUCGAUAGUCCCUUUUGGAGGUCGGGGGUGUGAGAUCGAUGCGUCACUCAUCGUUGAAUCAGGCACCACUCCGACAUCUAUUGAUGAAAUGGAGACCUAAUUACAUAAACAAAACAAAUGUUUAGAAUGAGAUCAGAAUCAAAUGCAGUUUUCAGGAAUUAUUUGUAACAUUUCUAAUUGUUGUCCUUGAGAUCACAUGCUAUAUGCAAAUCGAACAGUAAUGAGAAAUGAAUCUGGCAUUCCAGAUACCUUUGCAAACUCAAGAAACACAGUUUCUGUCUCUUCUCUUUCAUCAAUGUUCUAAUAAUCAGCCAAAUGGAACAGUACUAAUUCAUACAAGUCUCCUGAAAACAUCUAGUUGGUGAUCCAUAAUUUGGAAGUUGCCUUAUUUAGAAGCUAAACCUUCAUCUAUUAUAAUCUUAAUCAAAGGGAAAAGAUAAAUAGAAUCCAAAUCCAUUUAGUAUAUAGUGUAGAAUCAAAAUGCAAAAUAAUGACUUGGAAGAAAAGGGGAAAAGAAAGAAAAGUGCUUGAACAAUUGUGCCAUCAGAUUCCACUCUUUUAGAGCAGAAAGGUAAAGGAAAGGGGAAAAGAGCUAUUCUAAAGUGCAGAAAAAUAUCACAAAAAUAUACCCUUAGGAUUUUUUGUUUUUUAUUUUUAAUUUUUUUGAGUAGUACCCUUAGGAAUUUUUAUUUAAACAUGGAGCACCAAAAAGUAGAAUAUGAUCCUUGUAGCCCUGAAAUUGCGACAUGCACAACCAAAUAACACGCAUUUAACUAUAGCUAGCUACAAUUAAUCAUGAUAUAUUUAACGGAGAUUAUCACUAAUUAAUUAAUUAACAGAGCUCAAAUCAUACAUCCAGACAUGUAUAUAUAAAGAGCUCUCACAAUAGAGACCUUAAUCAUGUGGUUUCAGCCCCAUGAAUUAAUGACGCAUAUAUAUAAAUUAAGAAAAGAAAUUAGAACUUACACUAUGACUAAUUGAUCCAUUGUAGCUGUAAGCAGCUUUUGAUGAGGACUCAAACUCCAACCCCAAGUGGAAAUUAUGGUAUUUUUGAUGCAGCUGAUCUUUUCCUGCUGCUUCUGCACACUGAACGGGCACAACACUGUCACCUCCAUAGCAGCUCUUCUGAUGAGGAACACUGUAGUGCUGGAGAUUGUUUUGAUCAGAAUACUUAUUCUGGUCACCACACGAAUUGGAAUUAUACUCCACAAGAUCCAAAUACUCAUCCACCUCUCCACCACCAAACAAGAACCCAUUAUUGUUCUCCCCGUUGCUAUUCUUCGCGGGAUUUAGCAGCAGCCAUGAAACUGCUUCAUCAUCCUCAUCACCAACUCCUUCUUCUCCCUCCUGGGUCAUGAACAUAUCUUCAGUGGUCUCACCAGUAGCUGGCCCUACUUGGGGACCGUACAGGCAGCCAGAAAUCGGCAGGAUUGGGACACGUUGGUGGCGACGAGCCAAUGGGUUCGCCGAAUGGAUAUCUGCAUCGCAGGCAGUGCAGAGAGACGCUGCGUCUGCCUUGCAUAGAAAGGCAGCUGGAGCACGCUCACACGCCUCACACACCCACACACGCUCAUGCCGGGAUGCUACCCGGUUCGCAGCAUGUACGCGAGCAUCGCAUCCAGCGCAGAGGUAGGCUGAGUCUGCCCGGCAGUACACAGUGCAAGCGGCCGCAAGACAAGUGUCACACACGCGUGCCCAGUUGUUACUAGAGCAGCCACCACCGUCACCGGGGCUCUCGUUCUUCAACAUGACUUGGUACUACUCGUGAAAUAGUAGAGUGAAAUGGUAAUGGCUAAAGAAUGAAAGCAGAGAGCACCGAGCAGUAGCGAGAGGAAGGCUGGGGGUGUAACUGUUAACGCAACGCAAGUGGGGAGGGGAGAAUCCAUCACUUGACACGCGACGUAUAAUUAGUGGUUCAGAAAAGUUGUUGCAUUAUCCUGUGGUUGUAUGCGUUUUGAGGUGGGCCCCAGUCUUGUCUGAGUUGGCACCUGUGCUUUUAAUGUAAGACGAGUAAUGGGAGUUAAUGUCUCGAGUAGAGAGGAGGAGGUUGUACUCGCUCUAUUUUGAAGACACAUUUUAUCCGAAAAGGGUAUUUUGAAUAAAUAAAUAAUUUAUAUAAAAUAACAAGUUAAUUAAAA
Molecule: unclassified non-coding RNA, 4131 nt
Filed under: Hevea brasiliensis (rubber tree)
Lineage: Eukaryota; Viridiplantae; Streptophyta; Magnoliopsida; Malpighiales; Euphorbiaceae
Source: RNAcentral